CCUACGGGGGACAGCAGUGGGGAAUAUUGCACAAUGGGGGAAACCCUGAUGCAGCGACGCCGCGUGAGUGAAGAAGUAAUUCGUUAUGUAAAGCUCUAUCAGCAGGGAAGAAAAUGACGGUACCUGAGUCAGAAGCCCCGGCUAACUACGUGCCAGCAGCCGCGGUAAUACGUAGGGGGCAAGCGUUAUCCGGAUUUACUGGGUGUAAAGGGAGCGUAGACGGCAGUGCAAGUCUGGAGUGAAAGGCGGGGGCUCAACCCCCGGACUGCUCUGGAAACUGUACGGCUGGAGUGCAGGAGAGGUAAGCGGAAUUCCUAGUGUAGCGGUGAAAUGCGUAGAUAUUAGGAGGAACACCAGGUGCGAAGGCGGCUUACUGGACUGUAACUGACGUUGAGGCUCGAAAGCGUGGGGAGCAAACAGGAUUAGAUACCCUUGUAGUC
RNAcentral lists this ribosomal RNA (440 nucleotides) under uncultured bacterium. Its description in RNAcentral is "partial 16S ribosomal RNA". It matches the Rfam family "Bacterial small subunit ribosomal RNA", at positions 338 to 795 of the family's 1533-position model. The record is from RNAcentral.